AGUGCGCCAAUACCCAAUGAG
Molecule: unclassified non-coding RNA, 21 nt
Filed under: Mus musculus (house mouse)
Lineage: Eukaryota; Metazoa; Chordata; Mammalia; Rodentia; Muridae
Description: oocyte_clustered_small_RNA9856
Source: RNAcentral